UGCCAGUAGUCAUAUGCUUGUCUCAAAGAUUAAGCCAUGCAUGUCUCAGUACAAGCCAAAUUAAGGUGAAACCGCGAAAGGCUCAUUAUAUCAGUUAUGGUUCCUUAGAUCGUACCCACAUUUACUUGGAUAACUGUGGUAAUUCUAGAGCUAAUACAUGCAAACAGAGUUCCGACCAGAGAUGGAAGGAAUGCUUUUAUUAGAUCAAAACCAAUCGGUGUAAAUUUUAAUUUGCAUCGUUUAAUUUGGUGACUCUGAAUAACUUUAAGCUGAUCGCACGGUCUCGUACCGGCGACGCAUCUUUCAAAUGUCUGCCUUAUCAACUGUCGAUGGUAGGUUCUGCGCCUACCAUGGUUGUAACGGGUAACGGGGAAUCAGGGUUCGAUUCCGGAGAGGGAGCCUGAGAAACGGCUACCACAUCCAAGGAAGGCAGCAGGCGCGCAAAUUACCCACUCCCGGCACGGGGAGGUAGUGACGAAAAAUAACGAUACGGGACUCAUCCGAGGCCCCGUAAUCGGAAUGAGUACACUUUAAAUCCUUUAACAAGGAUCCAUUGGAGGGCAAGUCUGGU
This 571-nucleotide ribosomal RNA is filed under the name Arthropoda environmental sample. RNAcentral describes it as "SSU rRNA". It matches the Rfam family "Eukaryotic small subunit ribosomal RNA", at positions 15 to 565 of the family's 1831-position model. The record is from RNAcentral. Lineage: Eukaryota; Metazoa; Arthropoda.